AAUGAGGUGCCUGAAAAAAAGGACAAUCUUGAUAGGAUUGAUCAUGUGCUCUCCCCCCACCCUCAUUA
RNAcentral lists this transfer RNA (68 nucleotides) under Cerambycidae sp. 8 KM-2017. RNAcentral's name for it is "tRNA-Ile". The record is from RNAcentral. Lineage: Eukaryota; Metazoa; Arthropoda; Insecta; Coleoptera; Cerambycidae.